Molecule: long non-coding RNA, 355 nt
Filed under: Homo sapiens (human)
Lineage: Eukaryota; Metazoa; Chordata; Mammalia; Primates; Hominidae
Description: HSALNT0319526
Source: RNAcentral
CGGAAUGGAAACAAUGCAAUUCAAUGGUAUCAACUGGAAUGGAAUGCAUUGGAAUGGAAUGGAAUGGAAUCAACACGAGUGGAAUGGAAUGGAAUGGAAUGGAAUGGAAUGGAAUGGAAUGGAAUGGAACGGAACGGAACGGAAUGGAAUGGAAUGGAAUGGAAUGGGAUGGAAUGGAAUGGAAUGGAAUGAACCCGAAUGGAAUGGAAUGGAAAAGAAUGCAAUGGAAUAAAAUGGAAUGGAAUCAACCCGAAUGGAAUGGAACGGAAUGGAAUGGAAAGGAAUGGAAUGGAAUGGAAUGGAAUGGAAUGGAAUGGAAUGGAAUGGAACAGAACGGAAAGGAAUGGAAUGGAAU